CCAGACUCCUACGGGAGGCAGCAGUGGGGAAUAUUGGACAAUGGGGGGAACCCUGAUCCAGCAAUGCCGCGUGUGUGAAGAAGGCCUGAGGGUUGUAAAGCACUUUCAGUGGGGAGGAGGGUUGACAGGUUAAGAGCUGGUUGACUGGACGUUACCCACAGAAGAAGCACCGGCUAACUCCGUGCCAGCAGCCGCGGUAAUACGGAGGGUGCGAGCGUUAAUCGGAAUUACUGGGCGUAAAGGGUGCGUAGGUGGUUUGAUAAGUUAUCUGUGAAAGCCCUGGGCUCAACCUGGGAACUGCAGAUAAGACUGUUGGACUCGAGUAUAGGAGAGGGUAGUGGAAUUUCCGGUGUAGCGGUGAAAUGCGUAGAGAUCGGAAGGAACACCAGUGGCGAAGGCGGCUACCUGGCCUAAUACUGACACUGAGGCACGAAAGCGUGGGGAGCAAACAGGAUUAGAUACCCUGGUAGUCCACGCUGUAAACGAUGUCAACUAGCUGUUGGUCUUAUGAAUGAGAUUAGUGGCGCAGCAAACGCGAUAAGUUGACAAGGGC
Molecule: ribosomal RNA, 553 nt
Filed under: uncultured Legionella sp.
Lineage: Bacteria; Pseudomonadati; Pseudomonadota; Gammaproteobacteria; Legionellales; Legionellaceae
Description: bacterial SSU rRNA
Rfam family: Bacterial small subunit ribosomal RNA
Source: RNAcentral